AUACGUAGGGGGCGAGCGUUGUCCGGAAUGAUUGGGCGUAAAGGGCGCGUAGGCGGCGCGGUAAGUCUGGAGUGAAAGUCCUGCUUUCAAGGUGGGAAUUGCUUUGGAUACUGCCGCGCUUGAGUGCAGGAGAGGUUAUCGGAAUUCCCGGUGUAGCGGUGAAAUGCGUAGAGAUCGGGAGGAACACCAGUGGCGAAGGCGGGUAACUGGACUGCAACUGACGCUGAGGCGCGAAAGUGUGGGGAGCAAACAGGAUUAGAUACCCUGGUAGUCCACACUGUAGACGAUGAAUGCUAGGUGUAAGAGGUAUCGACCCCUUUUGUGCCGGAGUCAACACAAUAAGCAUUCCGCCUGGGGAGUACGGCCGCAAGGUUGAAACUCAAAUGAAUUGACGGGG
RNAcentral lists this ribosomal RNA (397 nucleotides) under uncultured bacterium. RNAcentral's name for it is "partial 16S ribosomal RNA". It matches the Rfam family "Bacterial small subunit ribosomal RNA", at positions 523 to 918 of the family's 1533-position model. The record is from RNAcentral.